AUUGAACGCUGGCGGCAUGCCUUACACAUGCAAGUCGAACGGCAGCGACGGGGGCAACCCUGGUGGCGAGUGGCGAACGGGUGAGUAAUGCAUCGGAACGUGUCCUCUUGUGGGGGAUAACCAGUCGAAAGACUGGCUAAUACCGCAUGAGAUCGCAAGAUGAAAGCAGGGGACUCCGAGGGUAACUUCGGGGCCUUGCGCGAGGGGAGCGGCCGAUGCCCGAUUAGCUAGUUGGUGGGGUAAAAGCCUACCAAGGCGACGAUCGGUAGCUGGUCUGAGAGGACGACCAGCCACACUGGGACUGAGACACGGCCCAGACUCCUACGGGAGGCAGCAGUGGGAAUUUUGGACAAUGGGGCAACCCUGAUCCAGCCAUGCCGCGUGUGUGAUGAAGGCC
RNAcentral lists this ribosomal RNA (397 nucleotides) under uncultured bacterium. Its description in RNAcentral is "bacterial SSU rRNA". It matches the Rfam family "Bacterial small subunit ribosomal RNA", at positions 29 to 416 of the family's 1533-position model. The record is from RNAcentral.